AGUGAACGCUGGCGGUAGGCCUAACACAUGCAAGUCGAACGGCAGCACAGUAAGAGCUUGCUCUUACGGGUGGCGAGUGGCGGACGGGUGAGGAAUACAUCGGAAUCUACUUUUUCGUGGGGGAUAACGUAGGGAAACUUACGCUAAUACCGCAUACGACCUACGGGUGAAAGCAGGGGAUCUUCUGACCUUGCGCGAUUGAAUGAGCCGAUGUCGGAUUAGCUAGUUGGCGGGGUAAAGGCCCACCAAGGCGACGAUCCGUAGCUGGUCUGAGAGGAUGAUCAGCCACACUGGAACUGAGACACGGUCCAGACUCCUACGGGAGGCAGCAGUGGGGAAUAUUGGACAAUGGGGGCAAGCCUGAUCCAGCCAUACCGAGUGGGUGAAGAAGGCCUUCGGGUUGUAAAGCCCUUUUGUUGGGAAAGAAAAGCAGCAGGUUAAUACCCCGCUGUUCUGACGGUACCCAAAGAAUAAGCACCGGCUAACUUCGUG
This 492-nucleotide ribosomal RNA is filed under the name uncultured bacterium. RNAcentral's name for it is "partial 16S ribosomal RNA". It matches the Rfam family "Bacterial small subunit ribosomal RNA", at positions 29 to 507 of the family's 1533-position model. The record is from RNAcentral.